This 468-nucleotide ribosomal RNA is filed under the name uncultured bacterium. RNAcentral describes it as "partial 16S ribosomal RNA". It matches the Rfam family "Bacterial small subunit ribosomal RNA", at positions 28 to 507 of the family's 1533-position model. The record is from RNAcentral.
GACGAACGCUGGCGGCGUGCUUAACACAUGCGAGUCGAACGGAAAGACCCUGCUUUUGUGGGGUGCUCGAGUGGUGAACGGGUGAGUAACACGUGAGUAACCUGCCCUUGACUUUGGGAUAACUUCAGGAAACUGGGGCUAAUACCGGAUAGGAGCUCCUGCUGCAUGGUGGGGGUUGGAAAGUUUCGGCGGUUGGGGAUGGACUCGCGGCUUAUCAGCUUGUUGGUGGGGUAGUGGCUUACCAAGGCUUUGACGGGUAGCCGGCCUGAGAGGGUGACCGGCCACAUUGGGACUGAGAUACGGCCCAGACUCCUACGGGAGGCAGCAGUGGGGAAUAUUGCACAAUGGGCGGAAGCCUGAUGCAGCAACGCCGCGUGCGGGAUGACGGCCUUCGGGUUGUAAACCGCUUUCGCCUGUGACGAAGCGUGAGUGACGGUAAUGGGUAAAGAAGCACCGGCUAACUACGUG